RNAcentral lists this ribosomal RNA (443 nucleotides) under uncultured bacterium. RNAcentral's name for it is "partial 16S ribosomal RNA". It matches the Rfam family "Bacterial small subunit ribosomal RNA", at positions 338 to 795 of the family's 1533-position model. The record is from RNAcentral.
CCUACGGGGGACAGCAGUGGGGGAUAUUGGUCAAUGGGGGGAACCCUGAUCCAGCGACGCCGCGUGAGUGAAGAAGUAUUUCGGUAUGUAAAGCUCUGUCAGCAGGGAAGAAAGAAAUGACGGUACCUGACCAAGAAGCCCCGGCUAACUACGUGCCAGCAGCCGAGGUAAUACGUAGGGGGCAAGCGUUAUCCGGAAUUACUGGGUGUAAAGGGAGCGUAGACGGUUAAGUAAGUCUGGAGUGAAAGGCCGGGGCCCAACCCCGGGACUGCUCUGGAAACUAUUGAACUUGAGUGCAGGGGAGGUAAGCGGAAUUCCUAGUGUAGCGGUGAAAUGCGUAGAUAUUAGGAGGAACACCAGUGGCGAAGGCGGCUUACUGGACUGUAACUGACGUUGAGGCUCGAAAGCGUGGGGAGCAAACAGGAUUAGAUACCCUUGUAGUC